Molecule: ribosomal RNA, 523 nt
Filed under: uncultured bacterium
Lineage: Bacteria
Description: bacterial SSU rRNA
Rfam family: Bacterial small subunit ribosomal RNA
Source: RNAcentral
AAUAGAUACCCAGGUAGUCCACGCUGUAAACGAUGUCAACUAGCUGUUGGUUAUAUGAAAAUAAUUAGUGGCGCAGCAAACGCGAUAAGUUGACCGCCUGGGGAGUACGGUCGCAAGAUUAAAAACUCAAAGGAAUUGACGGGGGCCCGCACAAGCGGUGGAGCAUGUGGUUUAAUUCGAUGCAACGCGAAGAACCUUACCUACCCUUGACAUACAGUGAAUAAAGCAGAGAUGCAUUAGUGCCUUCGGGAACACUGAUACAGGUGCUGCAUGGCUGUCGUCAGCUCGUGUCGUGAGAUGUUGGGUUAAGUCCCGUAACGAGCGCAACCCUUAUCCUUAGUUGCCAUCGCGUAGAGGCGGGAACUCUAAGGAGACUGCCGGUGACAAACCGGAGGAAGGCGGGGAUGACGUCAAGUCAUCAUGGCCCUUACGGGUAGGGCUACACACGUGCUACAAUGGCCGAUACAGAGGGCAGCGAAGGGGCGACCUGGAGCAAAUCUUAGAAAGUCGGUCGUAGUCCGGA